UACGUAGGGUGCGAGCGUUGUCCGGAAUUACUGGGCGUAAAGAGCGCGCAGGCGGUCGUUCAAGUCGAGUGUGAAAGCCCCCGGCUCAACUGGGGAGGGUCACUCGAUACUGAUCGACUCGAAGGCAGAAGAGGGAAGCGGAAUUCCCGGUGUAGUGGUGAAAUGCGUAGAUAUCGGGAGGAACACCAGUGGCGAAGGCGGCUUUCUGGUCUGCUCUUGACGCUGAGGCGCGAAAGCUAGGGUAGCAAACGGG
Molecule: ribosomal RNA, 253 nt
Filed under: uncultured bacterium
Lineage: Bacteria
Description: partial 16S ribosomal RNA
Rfam family: Bacterial small subunit ribosomal RNA
Source: RNAcentral